RNAcentral lists this ribosomal RNA (433 nucleotides) under uncultured Clostridium sp. RNAcentral describes it as "partial 16S ribosomal RNA". It matches the Rfam family "Bacterial small subunit ribosomal RNA", at positions 341 to 792 of the family's 1533-position model. The record is from RNAcentral. Lineage: Bacteria; Bacillati; Bacillota; Clostridia; Eubacteriales; Clostridiaceae.
ACGGGAGGCAGCAGUGGGGAAUAUUGCACAAUGGGGGAAACCCUGAUGCAGCAACGCCGCGUGAGUGAUGACGGUCUUCGGAUUGUAAAGCUCUGUCUUCAGGGACGAUAAUGACGGUACCUGAGGAGGAAGCCACGGCUAACUACGUGCCAGCAGCCGCGGUAAUACGUAGGUGGCAAGCAUUGUCCGGAUUUACUGGGCGUAAAGGGAGCGUAGGCGGGCUUUUAAGUGGUAUGUGAAAUACCCGGGCUUAACCUGGGUGCUGCAUUCCAAACUGGGAGUCUAGAGUGCAGGAGGGGAAAGUGGAAUUCCUAGUGUAGCGGUGAAAUGCGUAGAGAUUAGGAAGAACACCGGUGGAGAAGGCGACUUUCUGGACUGUAACUGACGCUGAGGAUCGAAAGAGUGGGGAGCGAACAGGAUUAGAUACCCGGUA